UACGUAGGGGGCGAGCGUUGUCCGGAGUUACUGGGCGUAAAGGGCAUGCAGGCGGUCGUACGCGUUUCGGGUGACAGCGGGUGGCUUAACUACCCGAGUGUUCGAAAGACGGUACGACUUGAGGGCUCGAGAGGGAGACGGAAUUCCGGGUGGAGCGGUGAAAUGCGUAGAGAUCCGGAGGAACACCGAAAGCGAAGGCAGUCUCCUGGCAAGUUUCUGACGCUCAGGUGCGAAAGCUAGGGGAGCGAACAGG
RNAcentral lists this ribosomal RNA (253 nucleotides) under uncultured bacterium. Its description in RNAcentral is "partial 16S ribosomal RNA". It matches the Rfam family "Bacterial small subunit ribosomal RNA", at positions 524 to 776 of the family's 1533-position model. The record is from RNAcentral.